Oreochromis aureus is the source of this 567-nucleotide long non-coding RNA. RefSeq lists it as uncharacterized. The transcript is spliced from 4 exons. The record is from RefSeq and is a predicted model, not a curated record. NCBI's taxonomy places the organism in Eukaryota, Metazoa, Chordata, Actinopteri, Cichliformes, Cichlidae.
ACCCCACCCCUACUUCACAGCACAACUGAUCAGGCGAGCUGACUUCUCACCUGAUCAGUUGUGCUGUCUUCUGCCCCACCCCCAAACCCACCAAACCCCAGCCCAGCCCAGCCACACAUCUCCAUCACAGCUGAUCAGAAAAAGGGAAUUUGGCACAUCUGGAACAUGUCUACUUGCUGUGGAGAUGAUGACUUGUUCCAGAAGAUGUGCCACAUGGAGAAGGUCUUCAACUCUAAUGAUGCUGCCCACCCUCCUGGAAAGACAAUGACAUCCUGGCAUCUGUGAAGACUAAUGGACAUUGCAAAACUUCUGCAAUAUCUUCUCAUCAUCUGCUUUAAGCAGCAGUCUGGAAGAAUCACACCCAUCAGAUUGACAUGUGAUAGCUACACGUUUGCUGACUGGUUUUUCCUCAUGUCUGCAGGUUCCAUCAACCCCCCUCCAUACUCUCCCCGGGGGGACAGCACAAUGGAGCCUGCCCCACCCCUCACCCCACCCCACCCCAAGUGGCAAAUGUGUGGGAUGAGGCAUGAAGGUAUUCCACCGUCAGUUUCGUUGUCCUGGGCAGGA